UAGUCCACGCCGUAAACGAUGGAUACUAGCUGUUCGGACUUCGGUCUGAGUGGCCCAGCGAAAGUGAUAAGUAUCCCACCUGGGGAGUACGUUCGCAAGAAUGAAACUCAAAGGAAUUGACGGGGGCCCGCACAAGCGGUGGAGCAUGUGGUUUAAUUCGAUGAUACGCGAGGAACCUUACCAGGGCUUAAAUGUAUAGUGACAGGGAUAGAGAUAUCUUUUUCUUCGGACACUUUACAAGGUGCUGCAUGGUUGUCGUCAGCUCGUGCCGUGAGGUGUCAGGUUAAGUCCUAUAACGAGCGCAACCCCUGUUGUUAGUUGCCAGCACAUUAUGGUGGGAACUCUAAGAAGACUGCCUACGCAAGUAGCGAGGAAGGCGGGGAUGACGUCAAAUCAUCAUGGGCCUUUAUGCCUAGGGGCGACACACGUGCUACAAUGGCAGGUACAGAGGGUA
RNAcentral lists this ribosomal RNA (454 nucleotides) under uncultured bacterium. Its description in RNAcentral is "bacterial SSU rRNA". It matches the Rfam family "Bacterial small subunit ribosomal RNA", at positions 791 to 1248 of the family's 1533-position model. The record is from RNAcentral.